GUUUGUUAGCCUUCUGACAUAUUUAUGGUUUGGCAGGCCAAUGUGUGAUUUAGGAGUCAAAAUGCUAACACAGCAGAAUAAAGAUUGCACGAAAAUGGAACUGCUGCUUUAGAGUGGAACUGACUGUAUUUUAAUUAACUUGUUGAGAUAUGUUAAUACACACCUCUGGUGCAGUUGGAACUGAAUCCAGGCUUCCUGACUCAAAGGGAAUGUUUAGGAUAAUGUGCCAGCUGGUUUGCUGUAAUUAUGUGACGUCUACCAUGAAGUGACUAGGGACUGCCAACCUGCAGCCAGUUUCAGUAAACUCACCCAACAGGCCAGACAGUUAUCUUGGGGGCCUGAAAAAAUUCCCCUUCCUAGCAGAUAUCUAUAAAACAGUAUGGAAGUACAAGGGCAGUAAAAAAUGCUUCAUUACACAGUACAUGGAAGAACCAAAACUUUCCUUAUAAAAUAA
Molecule: non-coding RNA, 454 nt
Organism: Chiloscyllium plagiosum (whitespotted bambooshark)
Lineage: Eukaryota; Metazoa; Chordata; Chondrichthyes; Orectolobiformes; Hemiscylliidae
Source: RefSeq, a predicted model, not a curated record